GACCAUGUGGCCUAAUGGAUAAGGCGUCAGACCUCGAAUCAGAGGAUUCAGAGUCCGAGUCCCUUCAUGGUUA
Molecule: transfer RNA, 73 nt
Filed under: Dallia pectoralis (Alaska blackfish)
Lineage: Eukaryota; Metazoa; Chordata; Actinopteri; Esociformes; Umbridae
Description: tRNA-Arg
Rfam family: tRNA
About the family: Transfer RNA (tRNA) molecules are approximately 80 nucleotides in length. Their secondary structure includes four short double-helical elements and three loops (D, anti-codon, and T loops).
Source: RNAcentral